AUGUUACUUGUUAUUAUCUCCGACUUUUUAAAUAAAUAUUACUUGACUUGACUUUCAGAAGGAAAAUGUUUAUUCUAUUUAAAACAUUCAUAUUUUAACAAAAUUGCUAAAGAGUAGCGUUUUUUUUUAAUUUUACAUAUAUCAAUUUAUUAUUUAUUAGAUGAUGCAGAGGCGUCGCGACUUGGGUGGCCAAAGGCAGCGCUCGCCACCCCAAUAUUUCGGCCAGUAAUGACAAGACGGUGUUUCAAUUAUUUUGAAAAUGUCCAGAUUUUUUCAUCAACUUUCAAUUUGAUGCUCAUGCAAAAUUAGAAAGAAGAAAUGCAGAAAUCGAUAGAGCAUUACCAGGGAAACGUGUAUUUUCAGUUACUGUAGCUGAAUCGCCAAGUGUCUAAAAUCUAGGAAACCAUGAUGAUGGAAGUGUUAUUGACCAGUUCUUUAGCUACUGGAGAAUUUCAGAAGGAAAUGAAAAAAAAGUUUUGCAUGUUUUCUUGCAAUAAAAUACCUGCACUGCUGACUUUGAUAAGAUUGUGGGGACCAGCUGAUUUUGUGGGGACUGCAAGAUUUUAAAAGGUGGCAGUCCAUCAGGUCAUUAGAAAAAAAAAAGGUAAGUCUUAAUGGUCUUGGAAUAUUAAACUCCAAAAUAAAAAUUCGCUUGAAAGGAGGUAUUAAAGCACCAUUCAUGAACUUUAAAAGGGGAUUCUUAUAGAUAAUUGAGAGGAUUUUCAUUUUGAAUGUGAGCAUGUUGCUUUGAACAAACAAACAACAACAGAGGUGGCUUAGUAAUUCUAUAGUAUAGAGCACAAGAAUAUUAUUUCAGAUGUUGCAGUUUGAUAUGUGGGCAAAGUUUAUAUUCUCUGAAAACUGAAUUCAUUUGUUCUCCACCUCUUCAUUGUGGGGAAGUUGCAAUUACAUGCAAAGCACAAAUUACUUGGACAGAACCCAUUAAUACAGGCAAAAAUUGUUUUAUUUUAUUUGAGUUUAAAUAGUUUUGUUCUAAAGUUGUACCUUUAUUUUGAAGACUAAUAAUUAGCUAAAGCUAAUUGAACAGUGGUUAUGAUCAGUGAUGGAUGUUAAGAGUGGAUUGUAGAGUGAAAGUCAAAUAGAACUAAUGGAAAGUAAAAGUUCAGUGAUUCUUUUGUAGAAAAUAUUGAAAAUACUGCAUAUUGCAUGACACAAGCUUGCUUGCUCAGCAAGAACGCUAAAUGGUAAUAUUAAAUUCUGUUUAUGGAAUGUCACUGAGUCUUUUGUCUAGAACAGUGGCUGUUCCGCUCAUUUAUUUGAAGUAGGUCUUUGCUCAACUCCGUUAAUAAUUCUACCCACUGUUAACAUCCUGAUAUUGGUAUGUUUUCAGUAAAGUGUACAAGAGGAAUAUAUUGUGUGGAAAGUAGUUAACUAAAUUGAAGUAAGGUGGUUGUUAGUCAUUUUUUGCGCUGAGGUAAUUUUAAUGUCAAAAAAUGCUGUUAAGAAAAUUUGUGGCAAAGCAACUUCCACACUUUUUAACCAAUUUCAGUAUAACUGUAAUCAUGCUUGACUAAUUUUUAUGCUUCCCGAAGUGGGGAGCAUAUAGUACCCACCUUGUCAGUCCAUGUUUUUUUGUUUGUUUGUCCAUUUGUCACACUUUUUGUCCGCAGGAUAACUCAAAAAGUAGUGAAGAUACCAAGUUGUAACUUUAUACAAUGAUAAAACUUAUUGAGAGGAAGUGCAUUCGCAAGAAACCAUAACUCUAGGUGGUCCCAUUUUUGAAUUAUUUCCCUUUUUUUUUUUGAAGACCUUGUCCUGAACAUAACUUGAAUACUAAGUAAGGUAUUGACACAAAUAAAUUCGUUUUCAAAUGAAAUAUAAUUAUGUUCUUCAUUUAUUAUAUAUUCCCACCUAACAGGUACAUUUCUCCUUAACACAAUCUCCAUGACAGAAAAGCCCCUUAUGCUACAGUAAUUUUGGGGAGCAUUCAUCCGUGUUACUGUGUUACUGAUCACCUUGUUUUCAUUAUUAUAGAUCCAGGCAGAGUGAAGAUUUACAGUGGUAUUAUGUGAACAUGGUAUAGUUUGUAUACAGUUUCACAUACCCAUAUCCCCAUGUGGAGUGCUGUGUAGGUGGCUGCAUUUUUGGGGGCAAUGCCCCCAGAUUUAACAAACCGUUUUUCAAUUUUCUUGUCGAGCUUAUGACCAAACUGACAACACACAGAAAACAAGUUCCAAAGUAUUUACCAAACAUAACUUUCAUACUGCAUUUUUUAAUUAUAUUUUAGAUCCAGAUAUGAUUAAAUAGAUCUACACAUUUUAUAUCAACAACAGUAUGUGAAGAAAACUAAACUGCAUUAUAAAUAUAAAUUAUAAUAGAUCUUCUUAAGCGUAAGAAUAAUAAAGACGCUUGAUUUGAUCACGUGAUCGAUUCUGAAACCGACACUUGUUAUGAUCAUGUGACCUAUUCUGAAAUCCAAUAACUAGUUUCAAUACGCUCAAAAAAUGUGUUCAUGAUUCUGCGUGAAAAUAGCAACUAAGGAAUUGCAACGGCACCGAUAAGCCGAUAGGUUAUUGAUUUUUUCAUCACCGUGCCUCGACACUGUUGUGGAUGUGUAUUAUGGAGAAACUUUAUCAGUUCGCGGCAAUCAGUACCGACGCAAAGAAACCGCCGAUAGAGCAGAUUUUGCAAAGAGUGCGUCGAUAUGGAUAUGUACUGUGAAUUGGAGACUGCAUCCUGAAUAUACAUGUCAUCUAGGGAAGGUUUGAAUCCAUGGAGAUUUUGUCAAAAGUUAUGGCAUCAGAAUCUUGCGGGCAUGCAGUAAUUUCAAUUGGAACCACCACGCAACCGCAAAUCAGGAGAGAUAUUUUUUUUUUUACUUUUUCCUGAAAUCCGGCCUCACAAUAGGGCCAAUAGAAACGCGCUUAUUCUGGAAAAGUACAGCAUUUCCCAAACUGAACAUGUGCCAGAUUCUUUAGUCUAAAGAUCAGAACAUUAUGUAAAUGAUGUGUUUAACAUAAUUAUAAUGUUUGGGAAAUCCUUGAAAAAUGACCGAAGAAAACAUUCAUUCCCAGAUUUUUAUUUAAAAAAAAAAGCCAUAUACGCUGACCAAACUGGUAUUUAUCUGCAGGAAAAUUAUCGUUUUACGUAAAAAGUGCACUAAAUACUGUUAUAAUUGCGUGUACAUAUACGUAUUUCAUCAUUUUUCAGACCGAGUAAUUUUUGCUAUGGGAGGUAAUCCACCACUCCGCGAUGAUAACUUGCCACAUGUGCCCGUUAUAUUUUGGCCUCAUUUUCUUGGUAAUUAUCCCUGCAGAUAUACAUUUAUGUUACCAGUUUAAUGUAUUUCAUCUAUCUGAGGGUGUAAAUGGUUUCUGAGGGUGAUAUUCGAAGGCAGACCCACCAGAAAUCUUGUUCUUUUUCCACGGGUGUUUCGUAUCCUAAUUUACUCGAACCUAACUGUAUACGCCAGUUCGGCAGGUUCAUUGAUAUGACGAAACACGGUUUUCAUAGUGUUUAAUGUAUUUCAUAUAUCAUGAUAUUGAUAGUUUGAAAUACAGGUGUACAUUAAAUAACCUAAAAUUGAAAAAGACAAUGUUAUUUUGAUCAACAAACAUAACAAACAAUAUGAAUAAUAAU
Mercenaria mercenaria is the source of this 3600-nucleotide long non-coding RNA. RefSeq lists it as uncharacterized. The record is from RefSeq and is a predicted model, not a curated record. Lineage: Eukaryota; Metazoa; Mollusca; Bivalvia; Venerida; Veneridae. The transcript has 3 exons.